Molecule: unclassified non-coding RNA, 238 nt
Filed under: plant metagenome
Description: partial contains small subunit ribosomal RNA and internal transcribed spacer 1
Rfam family: Eukaryotic small subunit ribosomal RNA (bases 1-46)
Source: RNAcentral
AAGUCGUAACAAGGUCUCCGUUGGUGAACCAGCGGAGGGAUCAUUACUGAGUUCUUACAAACUCCAACCCUUUGUGAACCAUACCAUUGUUGCCUCGGCGAGAGCUGCGGCUGCCUGGUAGUUGUCCUGUAGCCAUCUGCUCGGCACCUAUCCUGUAGCAUCAGCGUACAAGCUCGCCGAAGGACCACUAAACUCUGUUUGACAGUGUAUUCUGAAUGCUUCAACUAAAUAGUUAAAA